Long non-coding RNA from Magallana angulata, 1844 nucleotides. RefSeq lists it as uncharacterized. The transcript has 3 exons. The record is from RefSeq and is a predicted model, not a curated record. NCBI's taxonomy places the organism in Eukaryota, Metazoa, Mollusca, Bivalvia, Ostreida, Ostreidae.
CUUUUUUUCAUAUUUUUGCAUUAUGAAUCUUGAUUUUUCAUGAUUCUAUAGUCCUAUUUCUUUUUUCUUCAUGAAAUUAAUUAAAUCUCGUAUUAAGCCUGUUUCUCUCUCUGUAGUUCCUUUCUCUUAAUUCGUCUAUGUUUUUGCUCAUUCAUGUACUUUUCUGUUCCCUUUUCUGGUUUUCCUCUUUGGUUCAAAUGUACUGUAUGACUUGUUGAUGUAUCAUCACCGGCUUUGCUUUCAUUUAACCUUCUUUCCUUUUUAGUGAAACUGGCCAUGGAUGCAUUAGAGGAGAGAGUCAAUGUUGAAUAUACAAUAGGAUCUUUGCCUUCAUUGCUGCAUUCUUAAAUCAUGCAUGUGCAUGUAAGAAUUUAAAAGAACGUGGCCCAGUCGACAUUUAUUUUAAUGCAUUUUUAUACAAGAGAGGCGUUAACAGCGGAGAAAGUACAUGAACAAUUGAAAUAAAUCAUAUAUUCUUGGACGGGUGCUGUUGAUUUAAAAAAAAGGUUAGAAAUAAUUACUUACUAUGAACACAUUCUUUAUUUCUUUUACUUUAUAACAGGACAGUAUUGCUAGAUUAUGUUAUUUUCAUAAAAGAAAACGAAGCACAAUUCCAGUUACAUUUUUUCCAUUUUAAAGACAGAAUACAGACUAGAGUUUCACCAACUCUAGUCAACAUACCAGUUCAAUAAAUGUUUACAUUUUAAUCCUCAAAGGUACAAGAUGGUCGCAUAUUCCCCUGAAAAUGAAUGUCUGAAAUGUCACAAAAUAAAGUAAAGCUUUUCUUUGCACAGAAUACAUAAAACUUCAACAUCUAUGUAUGAUUACUUUAUUGGAUGAGCACAGGGGUAAUUGUUAUGUUGGCGGCUAAAAAAAACAUUUUCUGUUUUUUAAAACUGAAAAAUGAAAAAAGGAGGAAAAAUAAAGAUGGAAAAUUUUCCUCCGAUUACAAUCUACAAGGAUAAUUAGAUAGAUUAGAGCUUUAAUAUGCGAUUUCAUUAAAGGAAUGAAUUCAAUAUUUAUUUGUUUUAUACGAUAUGAAAUGGUUUGGUUCAGUUUACUCUUUAUAAACCGCGAAUUGAAUUUAUUCAUUUAACUUUUUUUACUCUUCAUUGUUUAUAAAAACGGCACCUUUGAAAUGACGUAAAAUUGUACAAAAUUCAAACGUAACGUCAGGCGUAUUGAUAUGUUUUUGACGUUAGUCUUACUAUGACGUAGGCAACAUUCUUAAUACGAUAUAAAAUAAAUUUAAAACAUCAGAAAGCGCGUUACAACCAGAAUUAAAUUAUUUGAUGUUAAUGUGUUGCUUACGGCGACUGCGUUUAACAUAUUUUCUAUUGAAAAAUUUCAUGUGAAAAUUUUUGGACAAGUUUAUUAUCAAGUCAUUAUUCCUUGAAAAAAAAUAGUACAGAAAUGCAUAAUUUAUCAUUGUACACACCUUUGAUGCAAUAUGUGUAUUUUCAGGAAUUUUAAAGAGUUUUGUUUUAAACAGCAUGUUUUGAAGACACUUGUGCCUUCUUGAGAAAAUUUUAAAAUGUUUGUUUUAUUGUUUAAACAAUUUUUCAGUGUAAAGAAAAAACCCCAAAUUGUUUUACAAGACAGGACAUGUAAUUGUGUUGAUUGUUUAGAAAUCAUUCUUACAAAGCUAUCAAUAUUAUAUAUUGAAAAUUUAUCAAUACUCCAGAAAGUAAAGGAUGUACAAUUUCUUUUUUUUUUCUAUUUGCAGGUUGAAAGGGAGGUAACUGCUUUUGUUGUUUGGAGAGAGAAAUGCCAAAAAGAGUUAUUUUUCGUAGAAUUUGUAUGAAAUUAACUGUACAUUAUUUUCAUUAAAUUAAACAAAAUGC